This 67-nucleotide transfer RNA is filed under the name Isodiametra pulchra. Its description in RNAcentral is "tRNA-Trp". The record is from RNAcentral. Lineage: Eukaryota; Metazoa; Xenacoelomorpha; Acoela; Isodiametridae.
GGAAAAAUAAGUUAAGCUUUAAACUAUUAAUUUUCAACAUUAAAAAUAUUCUCUGGAAUUUUUUUCG